GGCGGCGUGCUUAACACAUGCAAGUCGAACGGUGAAGCAGGAGCUUGCUCUUGUGGAUCAGUGGCGAACGGGUGAGUAACACGUGAGCAACCUGCCCCGGACUCUGGGAUAAGCGCUGGACGGCGUCUAAUACUGGAUAUGUGACGUGACCACAUGGUCUGCGUUUGGAAAGAUUUUUCGGUUGGGGAUGGGCUCGCGGCCUAUCAGCUUGUUGGUGAGGUAAUGGCUCACCAAGGCGUCGACGGGUAGCCGGCCUGAGAGGGUGACCGGCCACACUGGGACUGAGACACGGCCCAGACUCCUACGGGAGGCAGCAGUGGGGAAUAUUGCACAAUGGGCGGAAGCCUGAUGCAGCAACGCUGACGGUACCUGCAGAAAAAGCGCCGGCUAACUACGUGCCAGCAGCCGCGGUAAUACGUAGGGCGCAAGCGUUAUCCGGAAUUAUUGGGCGUAAAGAGCUCGUAGGCGGUUUGUCGCGUCUGCUGUGAAAUCUGGGGGCUCAACCCCCAGCCUGCAGUGGGUACGGGCAGACUAGAGUGC
RNAcentral lists this ribosomal RNA (540 nucleotides) under Microbacterium sp. MK-2005. RNAcentral's name for it is "bacterial SSU rRNA". It matches the Rfam family "Bacterial small subunit ribosomal RNA", at positions 38 to 649 of the family's 1533-position model. The record is from RNAcentral. Lineage: Bacteria; Bacillati; Actinomycetota; Actinomycetes; Micrococcales; Microbacteriaceae.